Molecule: ribosomal RNA, 220 nt
Filed under: uncultured bacterium
Lineage: Bacteria
Description: partial 16S ribosomal RNA
Rfam family: Bacterial small subunit ribosomal RNA
Source: RNAcentral
AGUAUUUCGGUAUGUAAAGCUCUAUCAGCAGGGAAGAAAAUGACGGUACCUGACUAAGAAGCCCCGGCUAACUACGUGCCAGCAGCCGCGGUAAUACGUAGGGGCGAAGCGUUAUCCGGAUUUACUGGGUGUAAAGGAGCGUAGACGGUUUGUCGCGUCUAUCGUGAAAGUCCGAGGCUCAACUUCGGAUCUGCGGUGGGUACGGGCAGACUAGAGUGAU